GGUAUCUCGGUAAAUAUCUGACCCGGUAAACGCUGGCCUAGCCUCCGCCUAAUCAUAUGAAAUAAACACUCUAUUUAAUAUAACUCUCAAAGGCUAGGCUUUGCUCUCUUAUGACACUAUCAGAAGGGUAAAAGACCAUUUUACCCCUCUCAUAACUCAAAGGCCCCACAAUAGACCAUACCCUAAAAGUCAACUCUCCGGGUUACGCUGCACAUACCGGAUGUGUACGCUGAGCGUACCCGGCUGCACCUUAGAAUCGGGGAGCGCCACCAAGUACGCGGCGUGUACUAGGGAUUACGCCCGACGUACUCCCCUGCUUCAGCCCUUUAGCUCUUGAGAUCUUAAACAGUUAAGACCUACGUCAAUAUAUUAGAUCUGACCCCAUCUAAGUCCAUUAAUCCAUAAAGUUGAUGACUUUAAGCCUUUGCAUGGCUGAAUAAGUCACCAACUCUCACAAUGAUCCAACCUUCAAGUCUAGAAGGCUAAAUACACAUGCAUGACUUCAAACUAACAUCCAAGAUGGAAACAUUAUGAAUCUAAAUCACCAAUAACACUGAAAGGGGACAGAUCUCGGACCAUGGAGCACUUUACACUCAUAAAGUCUCCACCUUUGGGGUUUUUAGCCCUAAAAAGGGCACAUACAAUAACAACCAAAAGAAGAGGAAAGUUUUGAACUUUAUACCUCCAAGUGUAGCCCUUUUCUCUGUAGAUCUCAGAUCCAAAAUGGCACCUCAAGCUUUAGCUUCCAAGAACUCCCUUCCUUCUUCUUCACCAAGUCACUAAAGCACCAAGAAGCUCAAAUCAACUCUCUCACACACUAAGGACGAUGGGGCUCUCUUUUAGGGUUUCACUCACUGAUAUGGAGGCUAAGGAAUGAGUCAUAACACCCUAUAAAUAUUGCACAAGGUGGAUUAGGGUUUUUGCACCUGGGUCGGGUACGCCCGGCGUAACUCUAGGUACGCCCAACGUACCUUGGCGACUCUGCGUCCAAAUUAAGCGAUUGAGUACGCGCAACGUACCCCUAUGGUACGCCCAGCGUACUCACUUGCUACAAUCCCACCACUCAAGGUCUAAACAUGCUCAAACAUUAAAGAACAAGGAUGAAUGAAAUAUACCUGAAUCUCGGGGUGUUACAAUUCUCCCCCACUAGAACCAAAUUUCGCCCUCGAAGUCUCAUUCCUCGAACAACUCUGGAUGCUGCCCUCGCAUCUUCGACUCUGACUCCCAAGUCAUCUCGGACCCCUUCCGAUGUUGCCACUGAACCAAAACCAAAGGUACUUCCUUGUUCCUCAAAACCUUGAUUUUCCGAUCUCUGAUUGCCACCGGUCUCUCAGCAUAAUUCAGGCUCGCAUCCACCUGAAUAUCCUCUAAUGGUACCACUGCCGACUCAUCGGCUAUACACUUCCGCAAUUGCGACACGUGGAAAGUGUCGUGAAUCUGACCCAACUCUGCUGGCAACUCNGUUAGGCCACCCUGCCUACCCUUGCAAUCACCCGAAAAGGACCGAUAUAACGGGGCCCCAACUUGCCCCUCUUCCUGAAUCGGAUCACUCCUUUCCAAGGAGAGACCUUUCCAAGGAGAGACCUAGAACUCGAGCUUGGACCGGCGCCUGUCCGCAUAACUCUUCUGACGACUUUGAGCGGUCAAUAACCUCUGCCUGACCUGCUGUAUCUGCUCAGUCGUUUGCAGCACAAUCUCUAUACUACCCAUAACACGCUGCCCGACCUCUCCCCAGCAAAUGGGGGUCCGACACCUCCUCCCAUACAACAGCUCAAAGGGAGGCAUACCAAUGCUCGAAUGAUGGCUCUUGUUGUAAGAAAACUCUGCCAAGGGAAAGUACGUGUCCCAACUCCCCCCGAAAUCCAACACACAUGCCCGGAGCAUAUCCUCGAGCGUCUAAAUCGUCCGCUCACUCUGUCCGUCAGUCUGGGGGUGAUAUGCGAUACUAAAAUGCAACCUAGUACCCAACUCCUCGUGAAAUUUCUUCCAGAAUCUGGAAGUGAAACGCACAUCUCGGUCCGAGACAAUCGAGAUCGGCACUCCAUGCCGCGAUACCACUUCUCUCACGUACAUCUCUGCCAACUUCUCUGGGGAAGAGUUCUCACUGAUAGCAAGGAAGUGAGCGCUCUUUGUCAACCUGUCCACAAUCGCCCAAAUUGCAUCGACUCCCCUAGUAGUCCUUGGCAAUUUGGUGAUAAAAUCCAUGGUAAUCUGUUCCCACUUCCAUUCGGGAACCUCUAAAGGCCGCAACUUACCAUGCGGUCGCUGGUGCUCGGCCUUAACCCUACGGCAGGUUAAGCACCUCUCAACAAACCACGUGACAUCCCUCUUCAUAUAGGGCCACCAAUACUCCUUCUUUAGAUCUAAAUACAUCUUAGUGGCCCCAGGAUGGAUCGAGAACUUCGACCGGUGAGCCUCUUCCAUCAAAAUGGUAUGCGUUCCUCCCACAAACAGUACCCCGAUACGCCCCUGAAAUGUUAUAAGCCCCCGACUAUCGGUAACGAACUCCGAUACCAACCCGACAACUCGCUCUCUCUUCUGGCUCUCAGGCCGCACAGCCUCAGCCUGUGCUUCACGAAUGGUGUCCAACACCGGAGCUAUCACGGUCAAUCUCAAACAUACAUCUCGCAAUGGGGUGCUCUCCGCCUUGCGGAUCAGUGCAUCGGCUACAACAUUAGCCUUGCCCGGGUGGUACAGGAUCUCACAAUCAUAAUCCUUGACCACGUCCAACCACCUCCUAUGUCGCAUAUUUAGGUUAGGCUGAUCCAUCAAAUACUUCAGGCUCUUAUGGUCCGUGUAUAUCGUACACCGAACCCCAUACAGAUAGUGACGCCAAAUCUUGAGGGCGAACACCAUUGCCCCCAACUCUAGAUCACGGGUGGGAUACCUUGUCUCAUGAGGCUUUAGCUGCCUCGAUGCAUAUGCUAUCACAUGCCCUCUCUGCAUCAGCACCGCUCCCAACCCCAAGAUCGACGCAUCACAAUACACCACAAAGUCCUCCAUUCCCUCUGGGAGGGCUAAGACUGGGGCUUCACAUAGCCUCUGGCGAAGCGUCUCAAAGGAGGUCUGCUGCUCUGGGCCCCAUGAAAAAGCGACACCCUUCUGAGUUAACCUGGUGAGUGGCACGGCGAUUUUGGAGAAAUCCAUGAUAAAUCUCCGAUAAUAGCCUGCCAACCCUAAGAAACUUCUGAUCUUGCAGGGUGACCUCGGCACCUCCCAUCUCAUCACUGCCUCUACUCUGGCCGGGUCGACCAAAAUCCCCUCCUGGUUAACGAGGCGCCCUAGGAACUGGACCUCUCGCAACCAGCAAUCACACUCGGAGAAUUUGGCGUAAAGCCUCUCCGAUCUCAGUACCCCGAGGAUCUCCCUGAAAUGCUCCUCAUGCUGCUCUCUGGAUCUCGAAUAUAGCAAAAUAUCGUCAAUGAACAUGAUCAUCGACCGAUCCAACAUCGGCCUGCACACUCUGUUCAUGAGGUCCAUGAACACUGCCGGGGCAUUGGUGAGUCCGAAAGGCAUCACCACAAACUCGUAAUGCCCAUAACGAGUCCUGAACGCUGUCUUCUGGAUGUCCUCAUCUCAUACCCUUACCUGAUGAUACCCAGACCUCAAAUCGAUCUUGGAGAACCAAGAUGCUCCCUGCAACUGAUCGAACAAAUCAUCGAUCCUCGGCAACGGGUAACGGUUCUUGACUGUUAGCUUUUUCAACUCCCGGUAAUCAAUGCACAUCUGGUGUGAACCAUCCUUCUUCUUGACAAAAAGGAUAGGCGCUCCCCACGGCGAGCUGCUCCGCCAAAUAAACCCCUUUCCCAGCAGCUCCUGAAGCUGCGGGGAUAACUCUUGCAUCUCUGGAGGUGCAAGGCGAUAGGGCACCUUGGCGAUAGGCGCGGCCCCCGGAAUCAAAUCGAUACUGAACUCCACUUGCCUCACAGGAGGCACACCCGACAACUCCUCUGGAAAUACAUCCGGGAACUCACGCACUAUCGGGACCUCCUCAACUGACCUCGAUCUCUCGGAAUCAACCCGCGUAUCCAGCACAUAUGCCAGGAAACCCUUACAUCCUUGCUGAAGACACUGCCUCACUCUAGCGUCCGAACAAAAUGCUGACCCAGAACAUGUACCCUCGCCGUACACUAUAAGAACUCCCCCACUAGGGUCUCGUAUGGUCACCAGCUGUCGCUCGCAGUCGAUAACUGCUCCGAAUCUGUUCAACCAGUCCAUGCCCAUAAUGACGCAGACAUCACCCAUCGCAAUAGGAAUCAAAUCAAUCGGAAACUCAACAUAGAAAAUCUCGAACACGCACCCUCGGAUCACCUCUGUGACAUAUAUCACCCUCUCGUUAGCUAUGGAAACCCUCAGAGGUCGACUCAAUGCUUCACGACUAACACUGAUAUGCUGACUAAAAGCCAAAGAUACAAAAGACCGACUCGCACCCGAGUCAAAUAACACCAAGGCAGGUACAGAAUCCACAAGAAAAGUACCUACGCAUAACAUAAUAUAAGCACAAAAUCUCAACAUCAAAAUAAAUAUAUGAAAGAAACAUACCAGCCACGACAUCGGGCGCUGCUCGGACCUCCCCCGCGGUCAGCUGAAAGGCUCUCCCUCGUGGCCUCGGCACCUCGGCCUUCACUGGCCGACUCUCGGUAGCUCUGAUGGCGGCAGGGGCAGAUCCCUGAGGUGCUCCCUAUGCCGAUCCCCGCAACUGCGGACACUCUGUCUUCCGGUGUCCGGUCUGGUUGCAGUGAAAACAAACUGCAAACCCCUUGGGGCAGUCCUUGGCCGUAUGCCCCUCCUUGCCACAUUUGUAGCAAGACCCUGCUCUGCACACCCCGUCAUGGCUUUUGCCGCACUUGCCACAAGUGCGGCCCCUUUGGCUCCCUGAUCUCGAAUCGGCGGGCUUGGCCCACUUGGCUACCGACUGAGACUGCACCGGUCGCCGAUCCCUCCCCUGAGACUCAACCACCUCCCUAGCCUGAGUCUCCAGCUCUAUCUCCUUCUUCCGGGAAUUCACCUGAAGCUCGGAAAAUGUUCGGUACGUCGAGUUUGCCACAAACUCACGUAUAUCCCUCCUUAGAAUGCUCAAAUAUCGACCCAUACGUGCCUACUCGGAGGACACGUGCUCUGGGCAGAACAUCGCUCGCUCAUGAAACAUCCUCGUAAUCACCGUAACAGACUCAGUACCCUGCUUGAGAGUCAGAAACUCCUGUGCCAAGCUCUCCCUCUCCACCCGGGGAACGUACUCAUCUUGGAACAUAGCAGUGAACCUCUCCCAGGUCACUGCUGCAAACUCAGCAGGCGUAUAGUGCGCCGUUACAAACUUCCACCAGUCCUUCGCUCCCAAGCGAAGCUGGUUCAGCGCGAACCAGACUCUCAAAUGCUCAGGAGACGAGCAAGUAAAGAAACACCCCUCUAUGUCUGAAAUCCAUCUCAUCGCUGCAAUCGGGUCCUGGAUCCCGUCAAACUCCGGUGGUUUUGUGUUGCUGAACUCUCGGAACAGCAACGCAUCACCACACUGCGGCCUCAUCGUAGCUAUAGCUGCAGUGGCCGCAGCAACAGCAGCCUCGGAAAGAUCAGCGUACUUCUCAUCAAAUGUCUCUAUCAGCGUGGUCUUGAUAGACCCGAACAUCUCUGGUAUCUCUGCCCUGAUGGACGCAGCAACCUCCUCCUGGAUGAUCCUAUGGAUCUCCUCAUCCCUCGUAUCACUGGUCCCUGGUGUGUGGCGAGUCCCAACCAUGAUCUCUCUCUCUCUCUAAAAUACAACAUAAGAAUAAUAUCAGGGACUCGCUCGAGUAUACUCACACUCGAAUACUCCAUCCUACUUGUUCCUUGGUACUCCAAGGAUUCUUACUUGGACUGUGCACUGACCCGGUGUCUUCAGUAGUACGGGCCCAAUACUACCGUCCACACCGCAUCAGCAUCCACCCCAAGUCCUCCUCCCAGAGUCCCAAGUCCCAAGCACUCUACUCUCUCUAAUCAUAUGAUACUCGCAACAGAUCUCUCAAAAUCUCCUCGCUGCUACCUAACCACUCUGAAAUAUUCAUAGCAGCAAGACUCCUAGACUCAGGCAUCACAUAUCAGGCCACUCUAGUCCUAAUAAGAAUACCUAGUCUACUCUAGCAUGCAUAUCAUAGCUCAUCGUAUAACAUAUCACAUCAUAUCUCAUAACACUUAUAAUAAUGGUAUUUUGGGAAACCACCGUUUAGGCGCUGGCUGCUCGUACACACGACUCUGAUCUUGUUUGUCUCACAAGUUGUUCUUUUGAAAACUUGUUUUAUUAUCAAAAUUUUCUCAAAUCCUCGGUUUGAGUUCAGAUACGCCCGAAGGUGCACUCGAAUCCCUCAAACCUAGGCUCUGAUACCAACUUGUAACACCGUAAAAAUUAAAACAAUUUUUCACAUUUGAAAAACACAUUUUAAUUAAAACCAUUCAUUCAUAAAAUGUCAUAACAUCAUGUUUUUAUUUCACAAAUGUCUCCCAAGAUCAAAAUACAUCCAAUCCCAUAUGUGUGUACGAAUCAAGUCGGCGCCUUCCCGCGGUCAUCACUGGUACCUGAAACACAUAACACUGAACACUGUAAGCAUAAGCUUAGUGAGUUCCCCAAAAUACCACACUAAUCACAUAAUAGCCACUCGAGGCUGUAACUCUGUUGACCCUCUGGUCAAUGUGUCUCAGUGGGGCCCUCCAGCCCCAACUCUCUGUGGGCCCUCUGGCCCUAACUCUAGGGACCCGAAAGUCCCAACUCUGUAACUCUGAAUCAUGCAUAUCACAUAUCACAAUAAAUCACAACACAUAAUAACAUGCAAUCACACUGGCAUAUAACUCUAUAAUACUCUGUCUCUUAACUCUGUUACCACACUAGGUAAAGUAUAGUGAGAAGACUCACCUCGGGUAUCUCGGUAAAUCUCUGACUCGGUAAACGCUGGCCUAGCCUCCGCCUAAUCAUAUGAAAAUAACACUCUAUUUAAUAUAACUCUCAAAGGCUAGGAUUUGCUCUCUUAUGACACUCUUAGAAGGGUAAAAGACCAUUUUACCCCUCUCCUAACUUAAAGGCCCCACAAUAGACCAUACCCUAAAAGUCAACCAAAAGUCAACUCUCCGGGUUACAUUGUGCGUACCAGAUGUGUACGCUGAGCGUACCCGGCUGCACCUCAGAAUCGGGGAGCGCCACCCAGUACGCGGCGCGUACUAGGGAUUACGCCCGGCAUGCUCCCCUGCUUCAGCCCUUUAGCCCUUGAGGUCUUAAACAAUUAAGACCUACGUCCAUAUUUUAUAUUUGACCCCAUCUAAGCCCCUUAGUCCAUAAAGUUGAUGACUUUAAGCCUUUGCAUGGCUGAACAAGUCACCAACUCUCACAAUGAUCCAACCUUCAACUCUAGAAGGCUAAAUACACAUUCAUGACUUCAAACUAACAUCCAAGAAGGAAACUUUAUGACUCUAAAUCACCAAUAACACUGAAAGGGGACAGAUCUCGGACCAUGGAGCACUUUACACUCAUAAAGUCUCCACCUUUGGGGUUUUUAGCCCUAAAAAGGGCACAUACAACAACAACCAAAAGAAGAGGAAAGUUUUCAACUUUAUACCUCCAAGUGUAGCCCUUUUCUCUGUAGAACUCAGAUCCAAAAUGGCACCACAAGCUUUAGCUUCCAAGAACUCCCUUCCUUCUUCAUCACCAAGUCAC
This 7675-nucleotide long non-coding RNA is filed under the name Lactuca sativa (garden lettuce). RNAcentral describes it as "long non-coding RNA (LSAT_LNC001112)". The record is from RNAcentral. Lineage: Eukaryota; Viridiplantae; Streptophyta; Magnoliopsida; Asterales; Asteraceae.